CCUACGGGUGGCAGCAGUGAGGAAUAUUGGUCAAUGGCCGAGAGUCUGAACCAGCCAAGUAGCGUGAAGGAUGACUGCCCUAUGGGUUGUAAACUUCUUUUGUCAAGGAAUAAAACGAGGCACGUGUGCCUUUUUGCGUGUACUUUAUGAAAAAGGAUCGGCUAACUCCGUGCCAGCAGCCGCGGUAAUACGGAGGAUGCGAGCGUUAUCCGGAUUUAUUGGGUUUAAAGGGAGCGUAGAUGGGUUGUUAAGUCAGUUGUGAAAGUUUGCGGCUCAACCGUAAAAUUGCAAUUGAUACUGGCAGUCUUGAGUACAGUUGAGGUAGGCGGAAUGCGUGGUGUAGCGGUGAAAUGCUUAGAUAUCACGAAGAACCCCGAUUGCGAAGGCAGCAUACUAACCUGUGACUGACAUUGAUGCUCGAAAGUGUGGGUAUCGAACAGGAUUAGAUACCCCUGUAGUC
Molecule: ribosomal RNA, 460 nt
Filed under: uncultured bacterium
Lineage: Bacteria
Description: partial 16S ribosomal RNA
Rfam family: Bacterial small subunit ribosomal RNA
Source: RNAcentral